RNAcentral lists this ribosomal RNA (329 nucleotides) under uncultured eukaryote. RNAcentral's name for it is "partial 18S ribosomal RNA". It matches the Rfam family "Eukaryotic small subunit ribosomal RNA", at positions 1470 to 1796 of the family's 1831-position model. The record is from RNAcentral.
CCCUUAGAUGUCCUGGGCCGCACGCGCGCUACAAUGAUGAAUUCAACGAGUUUAUAACCUUGGUUGAAAAGCCUGGGUAAUCUUUUGAACUUUCGUCGUGAUGGGGCUAGACCCUUGCAAUUAUUGGUCUCCAACGAGGAAUUCCUAGUAAACGCAAGUCAUCAGCUUGCAUUGAUUACGUCCCUGCCCUUUGUACACACCGCCCGUCGCACCUACCGAUUGAAUGGUCCGGUGAAAUCUUCGGAUUGAGACUUUGAUUUCUUCACGGAAAACGCUGUUUUAAGAAGUUGAUUAAACCUUACCAUUUAGAGGAAGGUGAAGUCGUAACA